RNAcentral lists this ribosomal RNA (160 nucleotides) under Nageia nagi. Its description in RNAcentral is "5.8S ribosomal RNA". It matches the Rfam family "5.8S ribosomal RNA". From Rfam's summary of the family: 5.8S ribosomal RNA (5.8S rRNA) is a component of the large subunit of the eukaryotic ribosome. It is transcribed by RNA polymerase I as part of the 45S precursor that also contains 18S and 28S rRNA. Functionally, it is thought that 5.8S rRNA may be involved in ribosome translocation. Lineage: Eukaryota; Viridiplantae; Streptophyta; Pinopsida; Araucariales; Podocarpaceae. The record is from RNAcentral.
ACAAAACGACUCUCGGCAACGGAUAUCUCGGCUCUCGCAUCGAUGAAGAACGUAGCGAAAUGCGAUACUUGGUGUGAAUUGCAGAAUCCCGCGAAUCAUCGAGUUUUUGAACGCAAGUUGCGCCCAAAGCCGUUUGGCCGAGGGCACGUCUGCCUGGGUG